Molecule: ribosomal RNA, 253 nt
Filed under: uncultured bacterium
Lineage: Bacteria
Description: partial 16S ribosomal RNA
Rfam family: Bacterial small subunit ribosomal RNA
Source: RNAcentral
UACGUAGGGCCCAAGCGUUAUCCGGAAUUAUUGGGCGUAAAGAGCUCGUAGGCGGUUUGUCGCGUCUGCCGUGAAAGUCCGGGGCUCAACUCCGGAUCUGCGGUGGGUACGGGCAGACUAGAGUGAUGUAGGGGAGACUGGAAUUCCUGGUGUAGCAGUGAAAUGCGCAGAUAUCAGGAGGAACACCGAUGGCGAAGGCAGGUCUCUGGGCAUUAACUGACGCUGAGGAGCGAAAGCAUGGGGAGCGAACAGG